Molecule: ribosomal RNA, 860 nt
Filed under: Caldimonas manganoxidans
Lineage: Bacteria; Pseudomonadati; Pseudomonadota; Betaproteobacteria; Burkholderiales; Sphaerotilaceae
Description: bacterial SSU rRNA
Rfam family: Bacterial small subunit ribosomal RNA
Source: RNAcentral
CGGGGUAUGCACAAGCUAGUCGUCGCCGGCAGCGGGUCCUUCGUAAUGCCGGCGAGUGGCGAACGGGUGAGUAAUGCAUCGGAACGUACCCAGUCGUGGGGGAUAACUACUCGAAAGAGUAGCUAAUACCGCAUACGACCUGAGGGUGAAAGCGGGGGACCGCAAGGCCUCGCGCGAUUGGAGCGGCCGAUGUCGGAUUAGCUAGUUGGUGGGGUAAAGGCUUACCAAGGCGACGAUCCGUAACUGGUCUGAGAGGACGGCCAGCCACACUGGGACUGAGACACGGCCCAGACUCCUACGGGAGGCAGCAGUGGGGAAUUUUGGACAAUGGGCGCAAGCCUGAUCCAGCCAUGCCGCGUGCGGGAAGAAGGCCUUCGGGUUGUAAACUACUUUUGUCAGGGAAGAAAAGCUCUGGGCUAAUACCUCGGAGUGAUGACGGUACCUGAAGAAUAAGCACCGGCUAACUACGUGCCAGCAGCCGCGGUAAUACGUAGGGUGCGAGCGUUAAUCGGAAUUACUGGGCGUAAAGCGUGCGCAGGCGGUUGUGCAAGACAGAUGUGAAAUCCCCGGGCUUAACCUGGGAACUGCAUUUGUGACUGCACGGCUAGAGUGCGGCAGAGGGGGAUGGAAUUCCGCGUGUAGCAGUGAAAUGCGUAGAUAUGCGGAGGAACACCGAUGGCGAAGGCAGUCCCCUGGGGCCUGCACUGACGCUCAUGCACGAAAGCGUGGGGGAGCAAACAGGAUUAGAUACCCUGGUAGUCCACGCCCCUAAACGAUGUCAACUGGUUGUUGGGGGAUUCAUUUUCCUCAGUAACGAAGGCUAACGCGUGAAAGUUGACCGCCCUGGGGGAGUACGGGCC